Melospiza melodia melodia is the source of this 616-nucleotide long non-coding RNA. RefSeq lists it as uncharacterized. NCBI's taxonomy places the organism in Eukaryota, Metazoa, Chordata, Aves, Passeriformes, Passerellidae. The transcript has 3 exons. The record is from RefSeq and is a predicted model, not a curated record.
GUUUAUGGCACUUUCCGGUGGAAGCAGAGCUCUCCAGAGGACUCCUGGCUAAUAACACAAUCUAAUGGAAGCACCCCUGUGCUGAGUGAUACUGAGGAUGGAAACCUUACAGCCUGCACUGAGAAGUCAGGCCCUGCAUCUACACAGAAGCAUUCUGGAUUUCAUUUGGCAUGGUGCUUGUGACUGAUUACAAAAUCUGCUGCUGAAGCAACUUUAGAGGUGGUGGAAGACCUAUGGUUGUGGAUCCUUUGCACAUAUAAAUGUUAUUGUGUGUGUCUGUUUGACCAUGGUAGGAUAUUUAAUGUAUCAUAGAAACAAGUUUUGUAUCUCCAGUUUCAGUGUCCUUCUCAUCAUAGAACCUUCCUUUCAAACAUAUUUUCCUUUGUUUGAGUCUUUAAAAAACCUUGAAAACCCGAAACCUUGAAAAAUUGUAACACUCUAUGAGAAAUGUACACUAUUGUCAUCUUCUGGGGAAAAGGGGAACUUUACUGUGUCCGCUGUUUUUGUAAGUGAAAUGUGGUGUACAGCAUGCUAAGUAACUGCUCAGUCAAAUGUCAGUGUAAAUUCAGAAAUCCUCAGAAGAGGAAAGAAAUAAAUAUUUUUAUUUUCUCUAAAA